UACGUAGGGGGCAAGCGUUACUCGGAUUUACUGGGCGUAAAGCGCGUGUAGGCGGCUGGUCAAGCGUGAUGUGAAAUCUCCGGGCUCAACCCGGAAACUGCAUCGCGAACUGGCCUGGCUAGAGUGCAGGAGAGGGCGGCGGAAUUCCCGGUGUAGAGGUGAAAUUCGUAGAUAUCGGGAGGAACACCAGUGGCGAAGGCGGCGACCUGGACGGACACUGACGCUGAGACGCGAAAGCGUGGGGAGCAAACAGG
RNAcentral lists this ribosomal RNA (254 nucleotides) under uncultured bacterium. Its description in RNAcentral is "partial 16S ribosomal RNA". It matches the Rfam family "Bacterial small subunit ribosomal RNA", at positions 524 to 776 of the family's 1533-position model. The record is from RNAcentral.